UACACACCGCCCGUCACACUACGAAAGCCGGUUGUACCAGAAGUCGCUGAGCUAACCCGCAAGGGAGGCAGGCGCCGAAGGUAUGGUCGGUGAUUGGGGUG
This 101-nucleotide ribosomal RNA is filed under the name uncultured bacterium. RNAcentral describes it as "partial 16S ribosomal RNA". It matches the Rfam family "Bacterial small subunit ribosomal RNA", at positions 1384 to 1482 of the family's 1533-position model. The record is from RNAcentral.